GGUGGUUGCCAAAUCAUUUAUGUAGCUGUCAGGGGUUCAGGGACAGAGGCACAGGGUAGGCAGGAGAUGGAGAGCGAUGGGGAUGAAUCCCAGGACAGUGAGGAAGAGGAUGACAAUGACUCAAGAGAUUCCAUGAGUCUUUCCAGCGAAUCAGAGGAUUCCCAGAAGGGGGCGCCGGUGGUCAAGGCCAGGGGAGCCCCAGGGGGGACGUGUCAGGAGCAGGGGGCCAGCGGGGGAUCCCAAAGUGGCAGCUGGGCGUCAGGACCAGCCUCCCCGCCAGAGUGCAGCGAAGGGGGUGGAGGUUUCAGUGUAUCAGGGGAAGCGGCUCCGGCAGCAGAGAAGGGAGGGAGGUCGGAGCAAGCCACCCUCCCGGAGGGGAGGGGAGUAGUGAAGGGAGUAGUGUAGCUGUUAAAAGGAAGGUUAGAGGUUGGGCACGCGCGCAAGUUCAAAUGUAGAGGCGCGCGGAAGUACAGGGAGCCCGGAGGAGGGGCCAGGUCCCAAAGCCCGCAGGAGGGGCAAGAGCAGUCUGGGGAUUCCGCGUCAGAGGAAUCCAGGAGGGGCGAAACCCCAGCGGGCAGAAAGACCCUGCGGAAAAGGAAAGAGAGAAAGAGGUGGAGCAGCGCAAGCCUCUUAAACUGGUGCAGGGGAGGGACUGAUUCAGAGGGGACUUCAGCGGUCUAAGCGUAGCAGACGUAGGGCUGCGCGCCUCGGAUGUGAAGCAAACAAUGAACUGCAAUAAACACUUUUGUAUAUAAGAAGAGAUAGGCGUUGGUCUUUUGUGAGCUGAGACUUGAGGCAGCCCUGACAGUAAGUCCCCUCUCACAAACCGCAAAAAAAUUUUUUUGCAAAGCUCACGGAGUUUGGCAGACAUGACUACUGAGGAGCAGAUAACGACCCUGCAAAACGCAGUCGCUGAACUCUCCGUUGCAGUACGGGUCUCUCAGAAGACAGUUGCCGAAGCAGAAGCGCGAUGCCAGGAUCUGCAAGCCAGGUGGGAUCAGGCGUGCAAGAGGGGUUCCCGGGGUCCAGAUCAGAGGGAAUCGGACUCGGAUGGAGGGGGGCAAUUUAGUAGCCCACUUCGAUGGGAACCUGAAGCAUUAUCCCAAUUUCAGAGCAGACGUCGUAUACGCGCUGCAUUUGCUUCGAAAAGACUUCAAAGAUGAGGAGGAGAAAGUAGGCUUUAUUGUGUCCCAUUUGCAUGGGGAAGCUAGAACCUGGUUACGCAAUUUGUGGCGCGAAGAUGGUCUUGCCCGCAGGGACUCUGACGAAUUUAUCAAAGCCAUGGACGCUUGCUUCCAAUCUACCGUUGACGUUGAUGUGGCGCGCCAGGAGAUGCAUGGAUUGCGGCAGGGCAAGGCUACAGUGCGUCAGUACCAUUCUCGCUUUUUGCAUUGCUGAAUGUGCUGGGCUGGUAAAAGGACUCCCUGGCAGUGAGAGACUUGUUCUGGGAGGGGCUUCAUGGCUCAGUAAAAGAUGAGCUGGCUAGGGAGACAGACCUCAAACCCUAGCAGACGUCGUGCAGAGGGCACUCACGAUAGGGGUGCGCCACGAAGAACGCCCUUGGCACAGUGAGGAGGGGCGUCACGUCCGCCCACCAGCUAGAGCGCCUCCUUUUCUUCCCAGGGACCUGGGACGUACAAAUCCCUCGCCUAUGCUGAAGGGGGCGGAACCAAUGGAGCUGGGUGGUGCAAAGGCUCAGACAGCUGCCGGAGCCUCAGCGUCCGGAGCAGUCAAGGCGAAGCCUCCUAGAGGGACCAGGAAGUGUUACAUCUGUGACAGUGCACAGCACAUGGCUAAAGAGUGUCCCCAGAGGCUCCAGAAGCACACUGCAGCCUUAGCAACAGUAACAGGGGAAGCGUUCCAAGGAGAACAGUUUCAGGGAAACGAGAAUGCCUGGCUGGAAGCAGAGAUGCUGGGGCUCCGCCAGGCAAGUCAGUGAAGCAGUCCCCAGCGCUUUUGCAGCCUACAGACCCCUUACCACCCAAGCCAGUGGUGCAGCUCACUGCUACUCUCCAGCUACCUAAUGGACUCACCCUGGAAGUCCCCAUUACGAUUGACUCAGGGAGCAACGCAGACUUCGUGGGGAUGCAGUUCAUCAAGCAGCAUCGCAUAGCGCUACUACCAGCCACGCUGCCUCUGAACGUCGUCACGGUAGAUGGCAGGAAGUUGCUGGGUGGGCAAGUGGUACAACAGACGCCACCCAUGCUGCUGAAAAUUGGGAAUCAUCGCGAGGUCAUCAGUUUCAAUGUCACCCAACUGUCAGACACGCCUAUAGUGUUAGGCAUGAGUUGGCUGGAUAGACACAGCCCAUCAUUAGCGUGGUACCAGCGGCAGCUCACCUUUGGCUCGUCCUACUGCGCACAACAUUGCAUCCAGACCGGCCAGGAGGAGGAGGGCCAGGAGGAAGGGCAACAGUUGCAUCUAGGCAUGGUGCAGGCAGUGCCCCACAAGUACAAGGGGUUUUGGAGGUCUUCUGCGAAAAGGAAGCUGACCAAUUACCACCCCACCGGCCCUACGACUGUGCAAUUGACCUCUUACCAGGGGCGACGCUACCGACUGCGAAGCUGUAUUCCAUGUCUGAAGAUGAGAUGCAGGAACUCAGGGAGUUCAUAGAUCACAAUUUGAAGCGGGGAUUCAUCCGAGAAUCCAAGGCAGUGGGGGGCAGUCCUGUGUUUUUCGUGAAGAAGAAGGACACGCCCCAAAAACGGCUCAUUGUGGACUAUAGGGCCAUAAACUCGAUGACAAAGCCCAAGGCCUUCCCCAUGCCCAAGAUUGACGACCUGCUCGCGACGGUGAGGAAGGGGAGGAUCUUCACCAAGUUGGAUCUACGCGGAGCAUACAAUCUAAUACGCAUGAGGGAAGGUGACGAGUGGAAGACGGCCAUGUUCACGCCGCUGGGCACCUAUGAAUACAGAGUUAUGCCGUUUGGUCUCCAAAAUGGCUCCCACUGUUUCCAAGCAUUCAUGCACCACGUGCUAGCAGGACUCCUCUACAAGAAGUGCGUAUGCUUCCUCGACGACAUUCUGAUCUUCUCAGAAUCGCAGGAGACUCACGAGAGAGACGUAAAGGAGGUCCUGCAGAGGCUACGGGAGCACAGACUCUACGCCAAACUGGAGAAGUGCCAGUUCGACGUGACGGAGGUGGAUUUCCUGGGCUACCGGCUGUCCGACAAGGGACUAGCCAUGGACAGCGCCAAAGUCCGCGCGGUGUUGGACUGGAAUAGCCCGCGCAAUCGGAAGGAGGUCCAGAGGUUCGUCGGCUUCGCCAACUUUUACCGCAAGUUCAUCAGGGGUUUCGCGAAAGAGACGGCAGCUAUCACGGACACCCUCAGUUCCAAGAAGAAAAAGUUCACCUGGACGGACCAGGCGGAGCAGUCCUUCAGGAGACUUAAGAGCCUCUUCGCGUCCGAAGACCAGCUGCUACACGUGAAUCCCGGCAGGCCCAUGCGGGUUGAGACUGACGCAUCUGACAGAGCAGUGGGGGCCGUCCUCUUGCAGGAAGAUCCGCAAGGGAACUGGAGGCCCUGCGCUUUCUAUUCCCGGAAGCUCAGCAAGUCGGAACAGAACUACACCAUCUGGGACAGGGAGUUGUUGGCCAUCCACGCGGCUUUCAAGGCGUGGCGGCACUUCCUCAUCGGAGCCAAGCACACCGUGCAGGUCCGCACGGACCACAAGAACCUAGAGUAUUGGCGCACGGCGAAGCUCCAGAGCCAGAGGCACAUGAGAUGGGCGGAGUUCUUUGCGGAUUUCGAUUUCCGGAUAGAGUAUAUCCCGGGAGACAACAACGUCAUAGCGGAUGCGCUCUCCAGGAAACCGCAGUAUCUCGAGGAAGCGGCACCAGUGGCAGCCAGGCACAUUUUCGCACCGCAAGCGUGGGCGUGCGCUUCCGCCGCCGUGGACCUGGACGCGGUACGACGCGCGCUACAGACGGAUCCGUUCGCACAAUCCAAGAUGGAGGAGGUGCGAAGAGGGACAGCAAAGGACGGCGAAUUCCAGAUACGCGACGGCCUGCUGACCCGCAAAGGUGCUCUCUACGUGCCGGGAGACGAUCUCCGCGCGAAGGUUUUACAGCAGUUACACGACGCACCCAGCGCGGGUCACUUCGGCAAAGAAAAGACGGCGGACUUAGUAGCCAGAGACUUUUGGUGGCCCCAGAUGCGGGGAGAGGUCGCGGAUUACGUCGCCAGGUGUGACACUUGUCAGAGGUCCAAGCCAGUGCACAAGAAGCCAGCGGGAUUGCUGGAACCGCUGGAGACGCCACUACAGCCGUGGGAAAGGGUGGCGCUGGACUUUGUUACUGAUCUGCCCAGUUCGCGGGGCAAGACGGCGGUGCUUGUGGUUGUAGAUCUGUUCACCAAGAUGGCGCACUUCAUUCCUUGCGCGAAGGUGGCAACAGCGGAACAGACCGCCAAGCUGUUCAUAGACCACGUGUUCCGGGUGCACGGCUUACCGCGGUCCAUCCUGUCCGACCGGGGUCGCCAAUUCAUUUCCAGUUUCUGGCAGAAGCUCCUGGGCAUCCUGAAUGUCAAGAUCAACUUAGCGUCGGCGAGACACCCGCAAACCAACGGCCAAGCGGAGAGGGUCAACGCCAUCAUGCAGCAGUACCUGCGAUGUUACGCCAAUCAAAAGCCUGCAACUUGGGUGGACUACUUACCGAUGGCCGAGUUUGCCUACAACAACACGAAGCACGCGUCAGCGGGGUGACACCGUUCUUCGCCAACAAUGGGCGACAUCCCAGAACCUUCCCGGCGUUGGAGACAACGACGCAGGGGAGUCGCAGGGAGCUGAGCAUUUAGCAGCAGAAUUGCAGGAGGUCCACGAGGAGCUACGACGGCACUUGGAACUAGCUAAACACGCCUACAAAGUGCAGGCAGACAGGCACAGGAGGGCAGGAGAAGACAUCCAGGUGGGGGACUGGGUAUGGUUAGCAGCCCAGGCGGUGCCGGCCAAGUCGUUAGCUAAGAAGAAGCUAGGACACAAACAGCUAGGGCCAUACCAAGUUGAGGGCAGGAUCAAUCCCGUAGCUUUUCGGUUGACCCUCCCAGAAGGUUCCAGAAUGCACCCGGUCUUUCAUAGGUCGGUGCUUACACCCUACAAGGCCCCACACAGAUUUCAGGAGCCAGGGACGGCACCAGACCCACGUAGAAAGUCACCAGGGGGGGGGAAGUCACCGAGGACCCCGACACUCAACGAGGUCACGGAAAUUCUGGACUCGAGAUGGGGGGAGGAGGGAGUGGAAUACCUCCUCGCCAGGGAAGGUACCCCGGCCAGCGCCAACAGUUGGGUGCCAGAUUAUGCUCUGGAGGAACCUCUUCUUAAAGACGAGUUCCAUGCACUCUUCCCACACAGGCCCAUGCCAGCGGAGUAUUUUGACGACUGGCUUUUACGCCCACACUUUCAGGCAGCACCUUCCGGGGGUUCUCCUCCGCAGAGGAGACCACGCCGGAAUCGAGCCCUCCAAGGGGAUCGUGCUCGGGGGUGGACACGGACCGCUCUUAUUGGUGGGACGAUCAACCAGAAGUGGGGUGGCGAAGGGGGCCUUGGCAAGCAGCAUCGCCUGAAGUAACAGGGGGAGGGAAGGGUUUGGAUGUGUUGGGGGAGGACCCCAGUUUCGAGCACUCAUACACUGAACUGGAAGCAGAGGAGAUCGACGUCGACGAACUGUAUCCAGCAUCUACCCCCGCUACAACGGAGCUCCCGGAACCUGCGCCCGAGCAGCGGAGGGGGAAGGGGGCUUCGAGGGGGAUGGAUGUCAGGGGUUCAGGGACAGAGGCACAGGGUAGGCAGGAGAUGGAGAGCGAUGGGGAUGAAUCCCAGGACAGCGAGGAAGAGGAUGACAAUGACUCAAGAGAUUCCAUGAGUCUUUCCAGCGAAUCAGAGGAUUCCCAGAAGGGGCGCCGGUGGUCAAGGCCAGGGAGCCCCAGGGGGGACGUGUCAGGAGCAGGGGGCCAGCGGGGGAUCCCAAAGUGGCAGCUGGGCGUCAGGACCAGCCUCCCCGCCAGAGUGCAGCGAAGGGGGUGGAGGUUUCAGUGUAUCAGGGGAGCGGCUCCGGCAGCAGAGAAGGGAGGGAGGUCGGAGCAAGCCACCCUCCCGGAAGGGGAGGGAGUAGUGAAGGGAGUAGUGUAGCUGUUAAAAGGAAGGUUAGAGGUUGGGCGCGCGCGCAAGUUCAAAUGUAGAGGCGCGCGGAAGUACAGGGAGCCCGGAGGAGGGGCCAGGUCCCAAAGCCCGCAGGAGGGGCAAGAGCAGUCUGGGGAUUCCGCGUCAGAGGAAUCCAGGAGGGGCGAAACCCCAGCGGGCAGAAAGACCCUGCGGAAAAGGAAAGAGAGAAAGAGGUGGAGCAGCGCAAGCCUCUUAAACUGGUGCAGGGGGGGACUGAUUCAGAGGGGACUUCAGCGGUCUAAGCGUAGCAGACGUAGGGCUGCGCGCCUCGGAUGUGAAGCAAACAAUGAACUGCAAUAAACACUUUUGUAUAUAAGAAGAGAUAGGCGUUGGUCUUUUGUGAGCUGAGACUUGAGGCAGCCCUGACAGUAAGUCCCCUCUCCCUGAAACCGCAAAUUUUUUUUUGCAAAGCUCACGAAGUUUGGCAGACAUGACUACUGAGGAGCAGAUAACGACCCUGCAAAACGCAGUCGCUGAACUCUCCGUUGCAGUACGGGUCUCUCAGAAGACAGUUGCCGAAGCAGAAGCGCGAUGCCAGGAUCUGCAAGCCAGGUGGGAUCAGGCGUGCAAAGAGGGGUUCCCGGGGUCCAGAUCAGAGGGAAUCGGACUCGGACGGAGGGGGCAAUUUAGUAGCCCACUUCGAUGGGAACCUGAAGCAUUAUCCCAAUUUCAGAGCAGACGUCGUAUACGCGCUGCAUUUGCUUCGAAAAGACUUCAAAGAUGAGGAGGAGAAAGUAGGCUUUAUUGUGUCCCAUUUGCAUGGGGAAGCUAGAACCUGGUUACGCAAUUUGUGGCGCGAAGAUGGUCUUGCCCGCAGGGACUCUGACGAAUUUAUCAAAGCCAUGGACGCUUGCUUCCAAUCUACCGUUGACGUUGAUGUGGCGCGCCAGGAGAUGCAUGGAUUGCGGCAGGGCAAGGCUACAGUGCGUCAGUACCAUUCUCGCUUUUUGCAUUGCUGAAUGUGCUGGGCUGGGAAAAGGACGCCCUGGCAGUGAGAGACUUGUUCUGGGAGGGGCUUCAUGGCUCCGUAAAAGAUGAGCUGGCUAGGGAGACAGACCUCAAACCCUAGCAGACGUCGUGCAGAGGGCACUCACGAUAGGGGUGCGCCACGAAGAACGCCCUUGGCACAGUGAGGAGGGGCGUCACGUCCGCCCACCAGCUAGAGCGCCUCCUUUUCUUCCCAGGGACCUGGGACGUACAAAUCCCUCGCCUAUGCUGAAGGGGGAGGAACCAAUGGAGCUGGGUGGUGCAAAGGCUCAGACAGCUGCCGGAGCCUCAGCGUCCGGAGCAGUCAAGGCGAAGCCUCCUAGAGGGACCAGGAAGUGUUACAUCUGUGACAGUGCACAGCACAUGGCUAAAGAGUGUCCCCAGAGGCUCCAGAAGCACACUGCAGCCUUAGCAACAGUAACAGGGGAAGCGUUCCAAGGAGAACAGUUUCAGGGAAACGAGAAUGCCUGGCUGGAAGCAGAGAUGCUGGGGCUCCGCCAGGCAAGUCAGUGAAGCAGUCCCCAGCGCUUUUGCAGCCUACAGACCCCUUACCACCCAAGCCAGUGGUGCAGCUCACUGCUACUCUCCAGCUACCUAAUGGACUCACCCUGGAAGUCCCCAUUACGAUUGACUCAGGGAGCAACGCAGACUUCGUGGGGAUGCAGUUCAUCAAGCAGCAUCGCAUAGCGCUACUACCAGCCACGCUGCCUCUGAACGUCGUCACGGUAGAUGGCAGGAAGUUGCUGGGUGGGCAAGUGGUACAACAGACGCCACCCAUGCUGCUGAAAAUUGGGAAUCAUCGCGAGGUCAUCAGUUUCAAUGUCACCCAACUGUCAGACACGCCUAUAGUGUUAGGCAUGAGUUGGCUGGAUAGACACAGCCCAUCAUUAGCGUGGUACCAGCGGCAGCUCACCUUUGGCUCGUCCUACUGCGCACAACAUUGCAUCCAGACCGGCCAGGAGGAGGAGGGCCAGGAGGAAGGGCAACAGUUGCAUCUAGGCAUGGUGCAGGCAGUGCCCCACAAGUACAAGGGGUUUUUGGAGGUCUUCUGCGAAAAGGAAGCUGACCAAUUACCACCCCACCGGCCCUACGACUGUGCAAUUGACCUCUUACCAGGGGCGACGCUACCGACUGCGAAGCUGUAUUCCAUGUCUGAAGAUGAGAUGCAGGAACUCAGGGAGUUCAUAGAUCACAAUUUGAAGCGGGGAUUCAUCCGAGAAUCCAAGGCAGUGGGGGGCAGUCCUGUGUUUUUCGUGAAGAAGAAGGACACGCCCCAAAAACGGCUCAUUGUGGACUAUAGGGCCAUAAACUCGAUGACAAAGCCCAAGGCCUUCCCCAUGCCCAAGAUUGACGACCUGCUCGCGACGGUGAGGAAGGGGAGGAUCUUCACCAAGUUGGAUCUACGCGGAGCAUACAAUCUAAUACGCAUGAGGGAAGGUGACGAGUGGAAGACGGCCAUGUUCACGCCGCUGGGCACCUAUGAAUACAGAGUUAUGCCGUUUGGUCUCCAAAAUGGCUCCCACUGUUUCCAAGCAUUCAUGCACCACGUGCUAGCAGGACUCCUCUACAAGAAGUGCGUAUGCUUCCUCGACGACAUUCUGAUCUUCUCAGAAUCGCAGGAGACUCACGAGAGAGACGUAAAGGAGGUCCUGCAGAGGCUACGGGAGCACAGACUCUACGCCAAACUGGAGAAGUGCCAGUUCGACGUGACGGAGGUGGAUUUCCUGGGCUACCGGCUGUCCGACAAGGGACUAGCCAUGGACAGCGCCAAAGUCCGCGCGGUGUUGGACUGGAAUAGCCCGCGCAAUCGGAAGGAGGUCCAGAGGUUCGUCGGCUUCGCCAACUUUUACCGCAAGUUCAUCAGGGGUUUCGCGAAAGAGACGGCAGCUAUCACGGACACCCUCAGUUCCAAGAAGAAAAAGUUCACCUGGACGGACCAGGCGGAGCAGUCCUUCAGGAGACUUAAGAGCCUCUUCGCGUCCGAAGACCAGCUGCUACACGUGAAUCCCGGCAGGCCCAUGCGGGUUGAGACUGACGCAUCUGACAGAGCAGUGGGGCCGUCCUCUUGCAGGAAGAUCCGCAAGGGAACUGGAGGCCCUGCGCUUUCUAUUCCCGGAAGCUCAGCAAGUCGGAACAGAACUACACCAUCUGGGACAGGGAGUUGUUGGCCAUCCACGCGGCUUUCAAGGCGUGGCGGCACUUCCUCAUCGGAGCCAAGCACACCGUGCAGGUCCGCACGGACCACAAGAACCUAGAGUAUUGGCGCACGGCGAAGCUCCAGAGCCAGAGGCACAUGAGAUGGGCGGAGUUCUUUGCGGAUUUCGAUUUCCGGAUAGAGUAUAUCCCGGGAGACAACAACGUCAUAGCGGAUGCGCUCUCCAGGAAACCGCAGUAUCUCGAGGAAGCGGCACCAGUGGCAGCCAGGCACAUUUUCGCACCGCAAGCGUGGGCGUGCGCUUCCGCCGCCGUGGACCUGGACGCGGUACGACGCGCGCUACAGACGGAUCCGUUCGCACAAUCCAAGAUGGAGGAGGUGCGAAGAGGGACAGCAAAGGACGGCGAAUUCCAGAUACGCGACGGCCUGCUGACCCGCAAAGGUGCUCUCUACGUGCCGGGAGACGAUCUCCGCGCGAAGGUUUUACAGCAGUUACACGACGCACCCAGCGCGGGUCACUUCGGCAAAGAAAAGACGGCGGACUUAGUAGCCAGAGACUUUUGGUGGCCCCAGAUGCGGGGAGAGGUCGCGGAUUACGUCGCCAGGUGUGACACUUGUCAGAGGUCCAAGCCAGUGCACAAGAAGCCAGCGGGAUUGCUGGAACCGCUGGAGACGCCACUACAGCCGUGGGAAAGGGUGGCGCUGGACUUUGUUACUGAUCUGCCCAGUUCGCGGGGCAAGACGGCGGUGCUUGUGGUUGUAGAUCUGUUCACCAAGAUGGCGCACUUCAUUCCUUGCGCGAAGGUGGCAACAGCGGAACAGACCGCCAAGCUGUUCAUAGACCACGUGUUCCGGGUGCACGGCUUACCGCGGUCCAUCCUGUCCGACCGGGGUCGCCAAUUCAUUUCCAGUUUCUGGCAGAAGCUCCUGGGCAUCCUGAAUGUCAAGAUCAACUUAGCGUCGGCGAGACACCCGCAAACCAACGGCCAAGCGGAGAGGGUCAACGCCAUCAUGCAGCAGUACCUGCGAUGUUACGCCAAUCAAAAGCCUGCAACUUGGGUGGACUACUUACCGAUGGCCGAGUUUGCCUACAACAACACGAAGCACGCGUCAACGGGGGUGACACCGUUCUUCGCCAACAAUGGGCGACAUCCCAGAACCUUCCCGGCGUUGGAGACAACGACGCAGGGGAGUCGCAGGGAGCUGAGCAUUUAGCAGCAGAAUUGCAGGAGGUCCACGAGGAGCUACGACGGCACUUGGAACUAGCUAAACACGCCUACAAAGUGCAGGCAGACAGGCACAGGAGGGCAGGAGAAGACAUCCAGGUGGGGGACUGGGUAUGGUUAGCAGCCCAGGCGGUGCCGGCCAAGUCGUUAGCUAAGAAGAAGCUAGGACACAAACAGCUAGGGCCAUACCAAGUUGAGGGCAGGAUCAAUCCCGUAGCUUUUCGGUUGACCCUCCCAGAAGGUUCCAGAAUGCACCCGGUCUUUCAUAGGUCGGUGCUUACACCCUACAAGGCCCCACACAGAUUUCAGGAGCCAGGGACGGCACCAGACCCACGUAGAAAGUCACCAGGGGGGGGGAAGUCACCGAGGACCCCGACACUCAACGAGGUCACGGAAAUUCUGGACUCGAGAUGGGGGGAGGAGGGAGUGGAAUACCUCCUCGCCAGGGAAGGUACCCCGGCCAGCGCCAACAGUUGGGUGCCAGAUUAUGCUCUGGAGGAACCUCUUCUUAAAGACGAGUUCCAUGCACUCUUCCCACACAGGCCCAUGCCAGCGGAGUAUUUUGACGACUGGCUUUUUACGCCCACACUUUCAGGCAGCACCUUCCGCCCCAACACCUCCGCAGAGGAGACCACGCCGGAAUCGAGCCCUCCAAGGGGAUCGUGCUCGGGGGUGGACACGGACCGCUCUUAUUGGUGGGACGAUCAACCAGAAGUGGGGUGGCGAAGGGGGCCUUGGCAAGCAGCAUCGCCUGAAGUAACAGGGGGAGGGAAGGGUUUGGAUGUGUUGGGGAGGACCCCGGUUUCGAGCACUCAUACACUGAACUGGAAGCAGAGGAGAUCGACGUCGACGAACUGUAUCCAGCAUCUACCCCCGCUACAACGGAGCUCCCGGAACCUGCGCCCGAGCAGCGGGAGGGGGGAAGGGGGGGCUUCGAGGGGGGGAUGGAUGUCAGGGGUUCAGGGACAGAGGCACAGGGUAGGCAGGAGAUGGAGAGCGAUGGGGAUGAAUCCCAGGACAGCGAGGAAGAGGAUGACAAUGACUCAAGAGAUUCCAUGAGUCUUUCCAGCGAAUCAGAGGAUUCCCAGAAGGGGCGCCGGUGGUCAAGGCCAGGGAGCCCCAGGGGGACGUGUCAGGAGCAGGGGGCCAGCGGGGAUCCCAAAGUGGCAGCUGGGCGUCAGGACCAGCCUCCCGCCAGAGUGCAGCGAAGGGGGUGGAGGUUUCAGUGUAUCAGGGAAGCGGCUCCGGCAGCAGAGAAGGGAGGGAGGUCGGAGCAAGCCACCCUCCCGGAAGGGGAGGGGAGUAGUGAAGGGAGUAGUGUAGCUGUUAAAAGGAAGGUUAGAGGUUGGGCGCGCGCGCCAAGUUCAAAUGUAGAGGCGCGCGGAAGUACAGGGAGCCCGGAGGAGGGGCCAGGUCCCAAAGCCCGCAGGAGGGGGCAAGAGCAGUCUGGGGAUUCCGCGUCAGAGGAAUCCAGGAGGGGCGAAACCCCAGCGGGCAGAAAGACCCUGCGGAAAAGGAAAGAGAGAAAGAGGUGGAGCAGCGCAAGCCUCUUAAACUGGUGCAGGGGAGGGACUGAUUCAGAGGGGACUUCAGCGGUCUAAGCGUAGCAGACGUAGGGCUGCGCGCCUCGGAUGUGAAGCAAACAAUGAACUGCAAUAAACACUUUUGUAUAUAAGAAGAGAUAGGCGUUGGUCUUUUGUGAGCUGAGACUUGAGGCAGCCCUGACA
This is a non-coding RNA of Podarcis lilfordi (Lilford's wall lizard), 12253 nucleotides long. Lineage: Eukaryota; Metazoa; Chordata; Lepidosauria; Squamata; Lacertidae. The record is from the annotation of a GenBank genome assembly.